RNAcentral lists this long non-coding RNA (476 nucleotides) under Bos mutus (wild yak). Its description in RNAcentral is "lncRNA (ENSBMUG00000016119.1)". Lineage: Eukaryota; Metazoa; Chordata; Mammalia; Artiodactyla; Bovidae. The record is from RNAcentral.
GCUUUCCCAGCCUGCGAUCUGAGCCAUACCACUUUUCUCUGACAAGUUAUAGAGUGAAAAGAUUUUUUUCUUCAGGUAGCCCUAGAUACAUCAGACUGGUGCAGCAUUCUUUACAGAGUCUGGACAUUGAUCUUACAUCUGCUGCAGGCUGGGUGACAACACGUCCUCGUUUAGCCCUGCGGUCUCGGCAAAUAUUUAAAGGUCACUGAACAAAGGUUGCUGUUUCUACGUUCACUCACGACUCCACCUACCUGGGUAACAAAGCAGAGGUCUGACAGUCCCCACUUCAACAGCGGCUGAUCCAGCAAGAGGAAGAGCUUCUGGAGAGGGUCGCACAAGAACGUGAACGCACUCAACACGACUCGACUAACUGUACAGUGGUUAGGAUGUUAAAUAUUCUCUUUUAUAUUUUACCACCAUUAAAAAACAUGUGUAGUAGCUCCAGAUUUCAUAAUCAUAUGACCCCUGAGCUAUAG